This 21-nucleotide non-coding RNA is filed under the name Gorilla gorilla (western gorilla). Its record names the gene ggo-miR-487b. Lineage: Eukaryota; Metazoa; Chordata; Mammalia; Primates; Hominidae. The record is from miRBase by way of RNAcentral. RNAcentral also lists the same sequence under 2 other names.
AAUCGUACAGGGUCAUCCACU